Molecule: long non-coding RNA, 517 nt
Filed under: Bos taurus (domestic cattle)
Lineage: Eukaryota; Metazoa; Chordata; Mammalia; Artiodactyla; Bovidae
Description: long non-coding RNA NONBTAT009739
Source: RNAcentral
CCAAGAAACAGAACUGUUUAUAACACUAGCUUACUGCCUGUAUACCUAGACAUCUUGUUCUUAAGAAUUUGAAAUUUCAGAAUAAAAUUGGCUCCUGCACAGCUAUACUUGAUAAAUUCUUGGUCAUGAUAGGCAUACAUAAAAUUUUUAGUAUUAUAGUAGUAUUGUUUGAAAAAAAGAUUAAAUUAUUCUUAGCUUUAGAGUUGGGAAAACUCUGUUUUGGAGAACAGAUGCUAAUGAAAUCCUUUAGCCAGCCCCAGGAGUUUUGAGCCUAAUCUAAGAGUGUGUUUUUAAAUUUAAUAGCACAAAAUCAGUUUCUAAUUGGGGUGGAAUGAAAGCAGUAUAGAGCAGAUGUUGGAGAAUCAUCUUGUCAAACCUGGUACCAUUUCUCAGUCUUUGUUUUUUUCCUUGAAGACACGACUUAGUUUCUUUUACUUUAAUUUUUCUAUUUAAUAAUUUUGUUCUGCGUAUGCCUGUGUCAAUUACCAAACAAAUCGAAAACAUUCAGAAAUCUAUG